UCCUGCAUAUCCUGGAUCUCCUUGAUGAUUUUCCAUAACUUUUGGAGCUUUUAGAAUAUUUGGGCGGCCUCUUCAAAACUUCAAGAGCUUCAGUCCUCAAUUCUUCGGAGCCAUCUUGAUUCACCGAUGCCUGCCAGUGGCAAUAGAUGUUCUGAUAAUGCAAAUAUACGUGUCUGAAGGAGCAUCCCAAACUUCAUGGCACAACUCCUCGAUGUCGAUAUCCAUCA
Molecule: long non-coding RNA, 227 nt
Filed under: Elaeis guineensis (African oil palm)
Lineage: Eukaryota; Viridiplantae; Streptophyta; Magnoliopsida; Arecales; Arecaceae
Description: long non-coding RNA (EGUI_LNC013984)
Source: RNAcentral